GACCCACACAAUUUUUGAUAUUCAACUCUAAAGUUUGAAUUUUAAGUUGAAUGUUUAAAACUAGCUAGUAAGUUGGAUCUUUUUUGUAUAAAUAGGUCCAAUUAUUACAUAGUAUUAUGUUAUAUUUUUGCAGUUACAGGUUUUUUUGAGAUAUAAUAUACAUAUACUGUAGUAAAAAGCAAUAGACAGUGUAAAUUAUUAGAUUUAUUACAAUAUUGCAUCCAGUUUGGUAUUAUAGGGACAUGGGUUUCAAAGAUGAUUAUUAUUUAUAAUAUACUACAGAUUAUAAAAUGCCCAUUGCAUAGAAGUGUUUAUGAAGAUUGAAUAAUUUAAGGAAUAGAGUAUGAAAAAUAUAUACUGAAUAUGGAUUUGAGUCUUAGUUGGAUUUUGAUGUAACCUGAGUUUAUAUUAAGGUGGAAAUGAAUAUUAUUAUCUAUUGUUAAAGUUUUGAGCUAUAAGAACGUUUAUAUUGUAUUUAGUACAAAUUGUUAAAAUUAUAACAAAAUAAUUAAAGGUCUUCACACAUUGCAGACUCAAACCAACUCCACUCUGACUCCAGUUACAGUUAAGCAUGGAAAUUUAAGCUUUAUAUUGUGUUCCUUAUGGUACAAUUUUCAAUAUUGAAUUGAAAGAAGUAUACGACGCGUGGACUACACAUGACUCAUGCGUCGUACGAAUGGUAUGCUUUAAUGUUGGAAACUCACGUUUCUACUGGAAGUUGAGUCAGAGUGGAGUUAGUGUUCAGUGUGUAAUGUGUGAAUACCUUUACUAAUUUAAUAUGUAUUAAGUAUGUACUACAUUGGUAAAGAAGGUAGUUCUGGGUUCUGUUAUCAUUUUAUGGUUGCAUUUUUUAAGGUUGGUUUUUAUGGGAGUUCUAAAUCAAUAAGGCAUGAUCUAUGCUACUCUGUGUUCUGGACAAGCAUUUCUCACAGGCGCAGUCUAGCAUGAAAUACUUCGUCCCCUUUAUUAGAUAAUAUUAUAAUGUAAUGAAUCCCGUCUCGAAUUAAGGUCACUUACAACUUCUAUAAAAUCCAAUCUUACCUGUAGAUUUAGAUGUAAAAAAUAUUAAUCCAAAGUGCUACUACUAAGCUGUGUACGACCGAAAAUAUUAUAACCUAUCUGUAAACUGUAGAUAAGUAACUAAGCAACAUUGUUCUGAUCCAUACUCCAUAUGCUAUCAAUGGCAACACACUCUUCGAAAACAGUUGACAUAUAACAGUAUUGCUGAAUUAGUUAUCGACAGAUUGCUGAUAAUUUUGGAUAACAUUAGAGGUGUAGCAAGUAAUGUACCUGUAACAAGAAUAAUUAGACUGUUAUCUUGUUGUAGUGACAUUUUAUUGGGAAGGUAGGGGACCAGAUGGCUUAUUUUUGAAUUUUUAUUUCAAAGUGUACCAAUUUAUCCUUCAACUUCCAUAUCGCAAUGUCAAUGCAACAAGACAACAGGAUCUUUAUUAUCAGGAGAUACAUUUCAUGUUACACCUCAAAAGUGAGUGCCCAGCUUUAUUAUGUAAGAAUUAUAAGGCUUAAAAUUAAAGGAGAAAAAUUAAGAUAACUCAUAAUUAAAACUAAUGAUAGGAGGUGUAAAUUAAUUGAAUAACUUUUUAUAUCAAAAAGAACUACAGCUGGCUGUAACUUAAGUUGUAUUAAUAAGAAUGUAAAAAAAUGACAUCUUCAUUGGGUGGCUAAAAAUUUAAUGAAUAGAUUAAAUGAUGCUUCAAUCUUUAUUUUUCAGAUAGUGUCACAAACUAUAAUUAAUUAUCAUAUAAAUAUUUAUUAUGUUGUGAUAGAAGUGAUUAUUCGAAAUGGCUAGGCAAAGUGAUUAAUGCAAAAGAAGAAUUUUUAUUUUAAUGAUGUGAGUUGCAUAAAAUGAAAUUUUUCUUUACAUUAAUCAAAUUACCCAGCCAUUUUUAAUAACUGAUUUUUAUUAUUGUUAAAUGUAACUCUAGCUUUGAUUGAGUUCAAUCAAGUCCUUAAUCCUUACAUUUGAAGCAUCAUUUAUGACUAAAAAAUCAGAAAGUAUCCCUAACCCUGUUGAUUUUAGUUUUCCUUACAGACUGAUUCACUAACACUAACUAUUAAUUAAAUAAUUUUAAGUUUUUU
This is a long non-coding RNA of Maniola jurtina (meadow brown), 2100 nucleotides long. RefSeq lists it as uncharacterized. NCBI's taxonomy places the organism in Eukaryota, Metazoa, Arthropoda, Insecta, Lepidoptera, Nymphalidae. The record is from RefSeq and is a predicted model, not a curated record. The transcript is spliced from 2 exons.